This 276-nucleotide ribosomal RNA is filed under the name Discocyrtus carvalhoi. RNAcentral's name for it is "partial large subunit ribosomal RNA". The record is from RNAcentral. Lineage: Eukaryota; Metazoa; Arthropoda; Arachnida; Opiliones; Gonyleptidae.
UAUUAAUUCAACAUCGAGGUCACAAACUUAGCUAUUAAUAAGAACUUGCUAGCUACAUAAUGCUGUUAUCCCUAAAGUAACUUUAUCCCUUUGCUAAAAAAAAAAUUACAAAAAUUCCCAUCUUCAAAAAUUGCCCCAAUCAAAAAAUACAUAAUUUUUAAGCUUUUAGGGUCUUCUCGUCCCAAGAAUUAAUAAAAGUAUUUUUACUUUUAAUCUAACUUCAAAAUAAUUAAACAAAACCUCCUCUUUAGUUUCUACCCUUCAUCCCAGUUUACA